Molecule: ribosomal RNA, 330 nt
Filed under: Triticum aestivum (bread wheat)
Lineage: Eukaryota; Viridiplantae; Streptophyta; Magnoliopsida; Poales; Poaceae
Description: partial small subunit ribosomal RNA
Source: RNAcentral
AUGCGUAUGUUGAGAUGGAUGUGUGGCCACACAAGGAAGGAUCGAGUCCGGAAUGAUGAUAUACGAGAUAGAGUUGGGGUAGCACCAAUUGAAGAGAAGCUUGUCCAACAUCGUCUGAGAUGGUUUGGGCAUAUUCAGCGCAGGCCUCCAGAAGCUCCAGUGCAUAGCGGAUGGCUAAAGCGUGCGGAGAAUGUCAAGAGAGGGCGGGGUAGACCGAAUUUGACAUGGGAGGAGUCCGUUAAGAGAGACCUGAAGGAUUGGAGUAUCACCAAAGAGCUAGCUAUGGACAGGGGUGCGUGGAAGCUUGCUAUCCAUGUGCCAGAGCCAUGA